Pelobates cultripes (western spadefoot toad) is the source of this 292-nucleotide non-coding RNA. The record is from the annotation of a GenBank genome assembly. Lineage: Eukaryota; Metazoa; Chordata; Amphibia; Anura; Pelobatidae.
AGGGGGAACAGUCCCUAUUCUGCUCUGUGUCAGUGUGUAUCAGGGAUCCUUAGGACAGGUGUCAAUCCAUAUCUGCCAAGUGACCCUAUGUAGGGGGGCCAGUCUCUAUUCUGCUCUGUGUCCGUGUGCAUCAGGGGCUCUGAGGACAGGUGUCAAUCCAUAUGUCAAGGUGUCAAUAUGUCAUAUGUCAGGUGUCAAUCCAUAUUGAUUGUGAUUUAGGAAUGUUAGGUGAUUUCUGCCCUUUAUGGAUUAAAACCAGACUCUGUAUCAACUGUGUAAUUUUCCAUGGGAG